ACGGGACCCCGCACAAGCGGUGGAUCAUGUUGUUUAAUUCGAUGAUACGCGAAGAACCUUACCAGGUCUUGACAUCCCUUGCAAAGCUAUGGAGACAUAGUGGAGGUUAUCAAGGAGACAGGUGGUGCAUGGUUGUCGUCAGCUCGUGUCGUGAGAUGUUGGGUUAAGUCCCGCAACGAGCGCAACCCUUAUUGCUAGUUACCAUCAUUAAGUUGGGGACUCUAGCGAGACUGCCAGUGAUAAACUGGAGGAAGGUGGGGAUGACGUCAAAUCAUCAUGCCCCUUAUGACCUGGGCUACACACGUGCUACAAUGGCCGGUACAGACGGACGCAAAGCCGCGAGGUGGAGCAAAUCCUAAAAAGCCGGUCUCAGUUCGGAUUGCAGGCUGCAAUUCGCCUGCAUGAAGUCGGAAUCGCUAGUAAUCGCAGGUCAGCAUACUGCGGUGAAUACGUUCCCGGGCCUU
Molecule: ribosomal RNA, 464 nt
Filed under: uncultured Acholeplasma sp.
Lineage: Bacteria; Bacillati; Mycoplasmatota; Mollicutes; Acholeplasmatales; Acholeplasmataceae
Description: bacterial SSU rRNA
Rfam family: Bacterial small subunit ribosomal RNA
Source: RNAcentral